ACUGGAGACUUGCCAUUGAUACUGUUAGUCUUGAGUACGGUCAAGGUAGGCGGAAUGUGUAAUGUAGCGGUGAAAUGCUUAGAUAUUACACAGAACACCGAUUGCGAAGGCAGCUUACUGGGCCAUUACUGACGCUGAUGCACGAAAGCGUGGGGAGCGAACAGGAUUAGAUACCCUGGUAGUCCACGCCGUAAACGAUGAUCACUCGCUGUUGGCGAUACACAGUCAGCGGCUAAGCAAAAGCAUUAAGUGAUCCACCUGGGGAGUACGGCCGCAAGGCUGAAACUCAAAGGAAUUGACGGGGGCCCGCACAAGCGGAGGAACAUGUGGUUUAAUUCGAUGAUACGCGAGGAACCUUACCUGGGCUUAAAUGUAGAGUGCAUGAAGUGGAAACAUUUCUUUCCUUCGGGACUCUUUGC
Molecule: ribosomal RNA, 419 nt
Filed under: uncultured bacterium
Lineage: Bacteria
Description: bacterial SSU rRNA
Rfam family: Bacterial small subunit ribosomal RNA
Source: RNAcentral